This is a small nuclear RNA of Pteronotus mesoamericanus, 104 nucleotides long. Lineage: Eukaryota; Metazoa; Chordata; Mammalia; Chiroptera; Mormoopidae. The record is from RefSeq and is a predicted model, not a curated record.
GUGCCUGCUUCAGCGGCACAUAUGCUGAAAUUGGAAUGAUACAGAGACUAGAAUGGCCCCUGCGCAAGGAAAGCAUGCAAAUUCGUGAAGCUUUCUGAAUUUUU